This 138-nucleotide ribosomal RNA is filed under the name uncultured bacterium. Its description in RNAcentral is "partial 16S ribosomal RNA". It matches the Rfam family "Bacterial small subunit ribosomal RNA", at positions 355 to 511 of the family's 1533-position model. The record is from RNAcentral.
UGGGGAAUAUUGGACAAUGGGCGAAAGCCUGAUCCAGCAAUGCCGCGUGUGUGAAGAAGGUCUUCGGAUUGUAAAGCACUUUCGACGGGGACGAUGAUGACGGUACCCGUAGAAGAAGCCCGGCUAACUUCGUGUCAG